Molecule: ribosomal RNA, 465 nt
Filed under: uncultured bacterium
Lineage: Bacteria
Description: partial 16S ribosomal RNA
Rfam family: Bacterial small subunit ribosomal RNA
Source: RNAcentral
CCUACGUGCGGCAGCAGUGGGGAAUAUUGCGCAAUGGGCGAAAGCCUGACGCAGCGACGCCGCGUGAGGGAUGAAGGUCUUCGGAUCGUAAACCUCUGUCAGCAGGGAAGAACGGUCACUGUGCUAAUCAGCAGUGAAUUGACGGUACCUGCAAAGGAAGCACCGGCUAACUCCGUGCCAGCAGCCGCGGUAAUACGGAGGGUGCGAGCGUUAAUCGGAAUUACUGGGCGUAAAGCGCUCGUAGGCGGUAUGUCAAGUCAAGGGUGAAAUCCCCGCGCUCAACGUGGGAACUGCCUUUGAAACUGGCAAACUGGAGUGUGUGAGAGGAUAGUGGAAUUCCAGGUGUAGGAGUGAAAUCCGUAGAGAUCUGGAGGAACAUCAGUGGCGAAGGCGACUAUCUGGCACAUAACUGACGCUGAGGAGCGAAAGCGUGGGUAGCAAACAGGAUUAGAUACCCCAGUAGUC